This 390-nucleotide long non-coding RNA is filed under the name Urocitellus parryii (Arctic ground squirrel). RNAcentral describes it as "lncRNA (ENSUPAG00010022518.1)". The record is from RNAcentral. Lineage: Eukaryota; Metazoa; Chordata; Mammalia; Rodentia; Sciuridae.
CUCCUGUCCACUCAUGAAAAUAUCUUUUUUUCUUUCAGGAUUUUAAUUUGCCUUCCUUCAACACAACAGAAUGAGCGUACCAGCAUUUCCUCAGGACACACCUGUGCACCAUGGCGGAGGAGCCCAUCUUGAGGAAGGCAGGUUUUGCACACAGGUGGUGAUUGGGAGGCCUCAACAGGCUCCUGACCAACCAAAUAAAGGUGGCUUUUCUGCAUUCCUGUAGAGAUCGUGUACACAACAGGGCUGCCAAGUGAGAAGAAAAGGCUUAGGCAGAAAAUACCACGCUUUCGAGAACAGUGUGUGUGUGUGUGUGUGUGUGUGUGUGUGUGUGUGUGUGUGAGAGAUUGGGCUUUCAACAACUGUUUGAGUGAUUGGCAAAUAAAGUGCAUU